AAAUUGAAGAGUUUGAUCAUGGCUCAGAUUGAACGCUGGCGGCAGGCCUAACACAUGCAAGUCGAGCGGUAGCACAGAGAGCUUGCUCUCGGGUGACGAGCGGCGGACGGGUGAGUAAUGUCUGGGAAACUGCCUGAUGGAGGGGGAUAACUACUGGAAACGGUAGCUAAUACCGCAUAAUGUCGCAAGACCAAAGUGGGGGACCUUCGGGCCUCAUGCCAUCAGAUGUGCCCAGAUGGGAUUAGCUAGUAGGUGGGGUAACGGCUCACCUAGGCGACGAUCCCUAGCUGGUCUGAGAGGAUGACCAGCCACACUGGAACUGAGACACGGUCCAGACUCCUACGGGAGGCAGCAGUGGGGAAUAUUGCACAAUGGGCGCAAGCCUGAUG
RNAcentral lists this ribosomal RNA (389 nucleotides) under Klebsiella pneumoniae. RNAcentral describes it as "bacterial SSU rRNA". It matches the Rfam family "Bacterial small subunit ribosomal RNA", at positions 1 to 388 of the family's 1533-position model. RNAcentral also lists the same sequence under 1 other name. Lineage: Bacteria; Pseudomonadati; Pseudomonadota; Gammaproteobacteria; Enterobacterales; Enterobacteriaceae. The record is from RNAcentral.